CCUACGGGAGGCAGCAGCCGCGGUAAUACGUAGGGGGCAAGCGUUAUCCGGAAUUAUUGGGCGUAAAGAGUACGUAGGUGGUUUUGUAAGCGCGGGGUGAAAGGCAGUGGCUUAACCAUUGUAAGCCUUGCGAACUGCAAGACUUGAGUGCAGGAGAGGAAAGCGGAAUUCCUAGUGUAGCGGUGAAAUGCUUAGAUAUUAGGAGGAACACCAGUGGCGAAGGCGGCUUUCUGGACUGUAACUGACACUGAGGUACGAAAGCGUGGGGAGCAAACAGGAUUAGAAACCCGGGUAGUCCAAGAUCG
This 305-nucleotide ribosomal RNA is filed under the name uncultured bacterium. Its description in RNAcentral is "bacterial SSU rRNA". It matches the Rfam family "Bacterial small subunit ribosomal RNA", at positions 500 to 803 of the family's 1533-position model. The record is from RNAcentral.